GGGGAAUAUUGGACAAUGGGGGCAACCCUGAUCCAGCCAUGCCGCGUGAGUGAUGAAGGCCCUAGGGUUGUAAAGCUCUUUUGUGCGGGAAGAUAAUGACGGUACCGCAAGAAUAAGCCCCGGCUAACUUCGUGCCAGCAGCCGCGGUAAUACGAAGGGGGCUAGCGUUGCUCGGAAUCACUGGGCGUAAAGGGUGCGUAGGCGGGUCUUUAAGUCAGGGGUGAAAUCCUGGAGCUCAACUCCAGAACUGCCUUUGAUACUGAAGAUCUUGAGUUCGGGAGAGGUGAGUGGAACUGCGAGUGUAGAGGUGAAAUUCGUAGAUAUUCGCAAGAACACCAGUGGCGAAGGCGGCUCACUGGCCCGAUACUGACGCUGAGGCACGAAAGCGUGGGGAGCAAACAGGA
This 404-nucleotide ribosomal RNA is filed under the name uncultured Bradyrhizobium sp. Its description in RNAcentral is "bacterial SSU rRNA". It matches the Rfam family "Bacterial small subunit ribosomal RNA", at positions 356 to 777 of the family's 1533-position model. The record is from RNAcentral. Lineage: Bacteria; Pseudomonadati; Pseudomonadota; Alphaproteobacteria; Hyphomicrobiales; Nitrobacteraceae.